RNAcentral lists this ribosomal RNA (1457 nucleotides) under uncultured bacterium. RNAcentral describes it as "bacterial SSU rRNA". It matches the Rfam family "Bacterial small subunit ribosomal RNA". The record is from RNAcentral.
AUUGAACGCUAGCGGGAUGCUUUACACAUGCAAGUCGAACGGCAGCGCGAGAGAGCUUGCUCUCUUGGCGGCGAGUGGCGGACGGGUGAGUAAUAUAUCGGAACGUGCCCAGUAGCGGGGGAUAACUACUCGAAAGAGUGGCUAAUACCGCAUACGCCCUACGGGGGAAAGGGGGGGAUUGCAAGACCUCUCACUAUUGGAGCGGCCGAUAUCGGAUUAGCUAGUUGGUGGGGUAAAGGCUCACCAAGGCAACGAUCCGUAGCUGGUUUGAGAGGACGACCAGCCACACUGGGACUGAGACACGGCCCAGACUCCUACGGGAGGCAGCAGUGGGGAAUUUUGGACAAUGGGGGAAACCCUGAUCCAGCCAUCCCGCGUGUAUGAUGAAGGCCUUCGGGUUGUAAAGUACUUUUGGCAGAGAAGAAAAGGUACCUCCUAAUACGAGGUACUGCUGACGGUAUCUGCAGAAUAAGCACCGGCUAACUACGUGCCAGCAGCCGCGGUAAUACGUAGGGUGCAAGCGUUAAUCGGAAUUACUGGGCGUAAAGCGUGUGUAGGCGGUUCGGAAAGAAAGAUGUGAAAUCCCAGGGCUCAACCUUGGAACUGCAUUUUUAACUGCCGAGCUAGAGUAUGUCAGAGGGGGGUAGAAUUCCACGUGUAGCAGUGAAAUGCGUAGAUAUGUGGAGGAAUACCGAUGGCGAAGGCAGCCCCCUGGGAUAAUACUGACGCUCAGACACGAAAGCGUGGGGAGCAAACAGGAUUAGAUACCCUGGUAGUCCACGCCCUAAACGAUGUCAACUAGCUGUUGGGGCCGUUAGGCCUUAGUAGCGCAGCUAACGCGUGAAGUUGACCGCCUGGGGAGUACGGUCGCAAGAUUAAAACUCAAAGGAAUUGACGGGGACCCGCACAAGCGGUGGAUGAUGUGGAUUAAUUCGAUGCAACGCGAAAAACCUUACCUACCCUUGACAUGUCUGGAAAGCCGAAGAGAUUUGGCCGUGCUCGCAAGAGAACCGGAACACAGGUGCUGCAUGGCUGUCGUCAGCUCGUGUCGUGAGAUGUUGGGUUAAGUCCCGCAACGAGCGCAACCCUUGUCAUUAGUUGCUACGCAAGAGCACUCUAAUGAGACUGCCGGUGACAAACCGGAGGAAGGUGGGGAUGACGUCAAGUCCUCAUGGCCCUUAUGGGUAGGGCUUCACACGUCAUACAAUGGUCGGGACAGAGGGUCGCCAACCCGCGAGGGGGAGCCAAUCUCAGAAACCCGAUCGUAGUCCGGAUCGCAGUCUGCAACUCGACUGCGUGAAGUCGGAAUCGCUAGUAAUCGCGGAUCAGAAUGUCGCGGUGAAUACGUUCCCGGGUCUUGUACACACCGCCCGUCACACCAUGGGAGUGGGUUUCACCAGAAGUAGGUAGCCUAACCGUAAGGAGGGCGCUUACCACGGUGGGAUACAUGACUGGGG